GAAGUAGCAAUACUUAGUGGCAGACGGGUGAGUAACAUGUAGGUAUCUGCCCUUUGGCCUGGAAUAACACGAGGAAACUUGUGCUAAUACUGGAUAAGUCUUUACGGAGAAAGCUUUAUGCACCAUUGGAUGAGCCUGCACUUGAUUAGUUUGUUGGUGGGGUAAUGGCCUACCAAGACUGUGAUCAAUAGCUGAUUUGAGAGGAUGAUCAGCCACAUUGGGACUGAGACACGGCCCAAACUCCUACGGGAGGCAGCAGUGGGGAAUCUUGCACAAUGGAGGAAACUCUGAUGCAGCGAUGCCGCGUGAGUGAAGAAGGCCCUUGGGUUGUAAAGCUCCUUCGUCGGGGAAGAAAAUGACUGUACCCGAAUAAGAAGGUCCGGCUAACUUCGUGCCAGCAGCCGCGGUAAUACGAAGGGACCUAGCGUAGUUCGGAAUUACUGGGCUUAAAGAGUUCGUAGGUGGUUGAAAAAGUUGGUGGUGAAAUCCCAGAGCUUAACUCUGGAACUGCCAUCAAAACUUUUCAGCUAGAGUAUGAUAGAGGAAAGCAGAAUUUCUAGUGUAGAGGUGAAAUUCGUAGAUAUUAGAAAGAAUACCAAUUGCGAAGGCAGCUUUCUGGAUCAUUACUGACACUGAGGAACGAAAGCAUGGGUAGCGAAGAGGAUUAGAU
RNAcentral lists this ribosomal RNA (670 nucleotides) under uncultured Alphaproteobacteria bacterium. RNAcentral describes it as "bacterial SSU rRNA". It matches the Rfam family "Bacterial small subunit ribosomal RNA", at positions 72 to 783 of the family's 1533-position model. Lineage: Bacteria; Pseudomonadati; Pseudomonadota; Alphaproteobacteria. The record is from RNAcentral.